GCUUCGGCAUCAUUGAAAAAAUGUAGUCGGAACGGGAUUCAGGGCCCUGCCAUUUUUUAUUAAUUAGGCGGUGGCUUUGAUAAUCUCUCUCUCUCUCUCUCUCUUUCUCUUUCUCUUCUUGCCUUUACUUAUCGUUAAUUCGGUGUAUCAGUGUUACUUAUGCACAGCUAGUUGCACGCGUUAAUUUUUGUAUUCUUAAUUAUUACAUAUUAUCCGUAUGUGUUUUAUUAUACCGCCACUUUAGAACUUUCGCGUUUCCUCCGCGAUAUAAUAUAAUACUUAAAGCUGAAGUAUAUUUAAGAAAUGCUAGUCAUUGCGUGGAUACGCUAUGAUGGCAGAGAAUUCUUUGCGCUAUAAUAAAUUAUAAUUGUUAUAUAAAAUAUUAAUUACGGAUUUGCGGUAUUUAUGGAGUUCAGUUGUUUUUUCGGAAUCUGUUCGUGUGGAUGAAACUGAAAAAUGCCAGCUGAUACAUACACAAAGGCUGAACCCGAGCUUAAGCAGGAGCUGAAGAGGAUUGCUGAAGCCAUUGUCGCUCCCGGCAAGGGUAUUUUGGCUGCUGACGAGUCCACGGGCACCAUUGGAAAGCGUCUUCAGAGCAUCAACUGCGAAAACACCGAAGAUAAUCGUCGUGCCUAUCGUCAGCUUUUGUUCACCACUGAUAAGGACGUCAUCAGUCAGCACAUCUCCGGCGUGAUCCUCUACCACGAGACCCUCUAUCAGAAGGCUGAUGAUGGCACGCCGUUCGUUGAGUUGCUGAGGCAGCGUAACAUCAUCCCCGGCAUCAAGGUCGAUCUUGGGGUCGUGCCUCUCUUCGGCACCGAUGACGAAUGCACCACCCAGGGUCUGGAUAACCUCCAAGCUCGUUGCGUCCAGUACAAGAAGGACGGAUGUGACUUUGCCAAGUGGAGAUGCGUGUUAAAGAUUGGCAAAGACAAGCCCAGCAAGCUUGCUAUUUUGGAGAACGCCAAUGUCCUUGCACGUUACGCUUCCAUCUGCCAGAGCGCGAGAAUCGUUCCCAUCGUCGAGCCUGAGAUCCUGCCCGAUGGUGAUCAUGAUCUUGCACGUUGCCAACAGGUCACCGAGGAAGUCCUUGCAGCAGUCUACAAGGCUCUUAGCGACCAUAACGUCUACCUCGAGGGAACUCUCCUGAAGCCAAACAUGGUAACCCCUGGACAAAGUGCCCCAAAGGCUACUCCUCAGGAAAUUGCUGCGGCAACCGUGACAGCUCUGUCCCGUACUGUACCACCAGCAGUAACUGGAGUUACCUUCCUCAGCGGAGGACAAUCCGAGGAAGAGGCAUCCGUUAACCUGGACGCCAUUAACAAGUUCCCUGGAAAGAAACCCUGGGCUCUGACCUUCAGCUACGGACGUGCUCUCCAGGCUUCUACCAUCCGUGCAUGGGGCGGUAAGCCUGAUCAGGUCGCUGCUGGUCAGGCGGAGCUUAUCAAGAGAGCCAAGGCAAAUGGAGCAGCUUGUCAAGGCAAAUACGUCGCUGGCAGCUACUCCAGUGCUGCUGGAAAUAUUUCAAAUUUUGUGAAAACUCACUCCUACUAAAAACUGUUAUUUCAUUCUCUCCCUCACACUUACUGUAUCUGUAUCUCCUAAUAACUGACGCCAACAGCGAUGCCGCUCUUGGAAAAUAUGCAGGUGGCGUCGUGGGAGCUGCAGGCGACGCCGGACUCUUCGUUGCGAACCACGCAUACUAAAUUUUCAAGAUAUAAGUCUUUGUUUCUCCUUCCGUGUCACAUAAUUUUUUCAAGAAAUUGAAAAAUCCAACGCAAACCUCGGUCGUCAUUCACCCAAGAUCCAUCAAUCGUCGUGAUAGGAGAAGUGAGAAAACAUAAUGAUAAGGAAGAAACACGUUUUUAAUAAGAUUUUGAGUGUAAGAAUCUACAGAGGGGGAUGAGGAAGUAUUAGAAGAUGAGGAAGAAGAAGAAAAAUUAGGGAAACAAAAAAAAGUCAACAGGUGAUUGAUUUUACAUGAAAUCCGUUGUUGCAAUUUACAACGAGUGGUCUCGAUCUUUGCGCGCGAAUUAGAUCAAUCAAUCCUGAUCAUGUGAUCUCUUCUAAUGUUCCUACUUUAUAAUCGGAAGGAAUUAAGACAAGAGAAGCAAAAGAAGGUUUCUGUGACGAGGAGUGGAGGAGAAAUAGAGAUUUUUGAAAAAACGACGAUUCGUGUGAUCGAUGAAAAUUAAUUAUUCAUCCCUAGAUCACAUUCAAUCGGAUCUGAUCGUCAACGAAUCAUCUUGCCAAGAUCCUUCGUUUCUUUUGCGAUUAUCGAAAAUCGUUAAACCAGAAAUCAAUUUUUCCGUAAAAUAAUAAGAGAAUCAUGGCAGAUAAAAAUGAAACGAAAAUAUCAAAAGUGAUAGGAAAUUCAUUGAAUUUUUAAUUUCCACACUCGCCACUCUGUUCUACCGGUUGAGAAUUGAUUGAGCUGGCUACACCAUUUAACAUAAGUAACUAUGGAAUAUACGUUAUGUGGCAAUCAUCGCGAAACAUAAGAAUUGGACAGAAAUUCGUUGCGUAACGAUCACGAUAGAUUCAGACUGACGAAUGGUUCCGUUAAUUAUUAAAAUGAUGUGAAAAAGAAAACUCCAAUCGUUGUAAGCAGAUUAAACGCGAAACUCAAAUUGCAACUUAUUAAUGUGUAAACACUUGCGAUUAAAUCGGAUUAAUGUGUAUUAUGUAUAUUAUAUAUAUAUUAUUAUAUAUAUAUUAAUAUAUUAUUGUCAAUGUCGUUAUUGUAUUCUACGUGUAUAAAACAAAUUGAAAAAAAAAACAAAAGUCAUAUUAAAUGUUGUUUGUUAGAGCCGACGAGUCGAAACUACUACGAGGUCAUACUAUUACAUCACACUUAUACGAUAUGUGUAUCUUAUAUAGUUAUUAAGUAACGUAUUUGAAGAUAAAGAAAAAAAGUGUCUCGUACAUCGAUGUUAUAUCUAAUAUUUUCAUUGUAAUUUAGGUCACCAAAUACACUGUGGAGGGUAAAAA
This is an RNA transcript of Cephus cinctus (wheat stem sawfly), 2991 nucleotides long. It is a transcript of the gene named fructose-bisphosphate aldolase, with no coding region annotated. The record is from RefSeq and is a predicted model, not a curated record. NCBI's taxonomy places the organism in Eukaryota, Metazoa, Arthropoda, Insecta, Hymenoptera, Cephidae. The transcript is spliced from 6 exons.